GAGUAAAUUUGGGUUUAAGUGAAGAGGAAUGAUCAUGCUAGUCAUGGUGGCAUAUGCUGGAAACCCUGCUACUGAGGAGGCUGAGACUGGUGGAUCCCUCGUGCUUGGGUGUUUUGAGCUGUGAGUGGGCAACUGAAGUCCAGAAGAAGUUAAACGACUUAAUGAAGUCAGAGAGCCAGUUUAAGGCAGACAAGGAACUACGAAGUCAGGUCAUCUGUGGGUUUUCCAUGACACGCCAUAUUGGAGAUGUGGGACCCAGAGCUUCACAGCAUUAUCUGUUGGCAGAAGGCCUCAAAUCAACAUCGCUGCCAAUUUCAGGAUAAAUCCAUUCUCCUCCCCACCCCCUUUACCAUUUAAAAACCUUCACCAACACAUUUAGAACCUGACAUGUGCCAAACUGCCCAAUUACUUCUUGCCUAUCAUUAAAACGUAAGCACUAAACACUGGGUUUGAGAAUACAUCAUACCAACUGUCUAAACACAAACUGAAGUGAAUUCAAGACUCCCAAAGAGGAUCAUAGCACAGGAUUGAAAUCAUUCAGUUUGGCCCAGAUUCAAAAUGCCAUUUAAAAUUGAGCUCAAAAAACGGCCUGUUUGUGAAAAGGACUGGAUUGACAAACCUGAAUGCUGAAGUCCUGUAUUUACCCAGAAGCCAGAAGAGCUUCUCUCUGAAGGGAGAGCAGGACAGUUUUCUUUCGAGAAGCCUUUUGGCAAGAGAAAUACUCACUACUGAGUCUAUAACUCAACCAUAUUGGCUUGGGCCCCCAGUUCUAUUUCUGAAGACUCAUUCAAGUCCAGUCCAACUUGGGAAGAAAAGGGGAGAUGGGAGGAUGGCAAUAAGUGAAUAGAAGAAAGUAAAUUAGACUUAGAUUCAGAAGAUCUGAGUUUGGCUCUUGCUCUUGCUGUGCGACAUGGGCAAGUCUCCUAAAAUCCUCAAGUCUCAUUUCUCUCAUCUAGAAAAAGGGAAUGAUAAUACUCACACUAUUUACUUCACAAGAGGAGCUGUGAGAAUCUAGUGAGAUAAUAUACCAAUAUGUAGCAGUCCACCCCUAGCUAUGGGCAAGGGAAACAGUUAGUAUGUACAGAGUGGCUUAGAAGAGAACAUGCUCAGUCUUGAGCAUGGCUGGGAAAGCCUCUGACCCUUCACCCCAGCUUCCCCCAGAUUAGGUGGAAAAACAGGUUUCUUUGUGUCCACCUGGCUAAGAGAAACCACACCUAUACCUUGUCGUUAACCAAUGAUAAUCAUCCCUAUGUAUUGUGUAUAUUUGCAUAUCAAAGAGAUUAAAUACCGGGCCACAGCAAGCUCCACCUUCUCUUCCUCUCU
Molecule: long non-coding RNA, 1323 nt
Filed under: Monodelphis domestica (gray short-tailed opossum)
Lineage: Eukaryota; Metazoa; Chordata; Mammalia; Didelphimorphia; Didelphidae
Description: lncRNA (ENSMODG00000037897.1)
Source: RNAcentral